Molecule: ribosomal RNA, 369 nt
Filed under: uncultured organism
Description: bacterial SSU rRNA
Rfam family: Bacterial small subunit ribosomal RNA
Source: RNAcentral
CGUAGGGUGCAGGCGUUAAUCGGAAUUACUGGGCGUAAAGCGUGCGCAGGCGGUCUUUUAAGUCAGAUGUGAAAUCCCCGGGCUUAACCUGGGAACUACGUUUGAAACUGGAAGGCUAGAGUGUGGCAGAGGGGGGUGGAAUUCCACGUGUAGCAGUGAAAUGCGUAGAUAUGUGGAGGAACACCGAUGGCGAAGGCAGCCCCCUGGGCUAACACUGACGCUCAUGCACGAAAGCGUGGGGACCAAACAGGAUUAGAUACCCUGGUAGUCCACGCCCUAAACUAUGUCAACUGGUUGUCGGGGAAGCAAUUCCUUGGUAACGAAGCUAACGCGUGAAGUUGACCGCCUGGGAGUACGGCCGCAAGGUUA